GACGAACGCUGGCGGCGUGCUUAACACAUGCCAGUCGAACGGAAAGGCCCUGCUUUUGUGGGGUGCUCGAGUGGCGAACGGGUGAGUAACACGUGAGUAACCUGCCCUUGACUUUGGGAUAACUUCAGGAAACUGGGGCUAAUACCGGAUAGGAGCUCCUGCUGCAUGGUGGGGGUUGGAAAGUUUCGGCGGUUGGGGAUGGACUCGCGGCUUAUCAGCUUGUUGGUGGGGUAGUGGCUUACCAAGGCUUUGACGGGUAGCCGGCCUGAGAGGGUGACCGGCCACAUUGGGACUGGGAUACGGCCCAGACUCCUACGGGAGGCAGCAGUGGGGAAUAUUGCACAAUGGGCGGAAGCCUGAUGCAGUAACGCCGCGUGCGGGAUGACGGCCUUCGGGUUGUAAACCGCUUUCGCCUGUGACGAAGCGUGAGUGACGGUAAUGGGUAAAGAAGCACCGGCUAACUACGUG
RNAcentral lists this ribosomal RNA (468 nucleotides) under uncultured bacterium. Its description in RNAcentral is "partial 16S ribosomal RNA". It matches the Rfam family "Bacterial small subunit ribosomal RNA", at positions 28 to 507 of the family's 1533-position model. The record is from RNAcentral.